CGGCCCAAAUCGUUCCCAAUACCGACCCAUCUCAAACAAAUACACAGACGGAUAGAUAUAGAGAGCCGAAACGCAAAAUCCCUAGAUCCCUAACGAACACUAUUCAAUCAUCUUUCUCACUCGAACCAAGCCCAAAUUCAGUCCAAAUUCAGGUGAGUGAAUCUCAAAUCCUUAACCUAGGCGUCCCUCCUUCUCUCAUCUUGUCGUUGCUAAUGGUUUCUGAUGACAAGAUUCCCUUCUCCUCUCACUCGCUCGAAUUUGUGUUAUAUCUCACGAUUGGAAGGUUCUGAGGACGAUAUGCUGGAUGAGUAUGAGGCGUUGGAUUAAUUUCACUCAAUUCGAGGCCAACAUUCAUCAAGGAUUCGUCUUCACAAGGAGACUUAUGUGAUUUUGAGAGGAGGACUCUGGUAAAAAACUUUGAGAGAAAAGUUGAAAGGUUUUUUUCUUUAACUUCUAAUUUUUGUCCUCUGAAUACUUUUGUUGGAAGAGUUUGUCUCAAAGGUUCAGAAAAACACAUAGAUUUUAAUUUCUGACUUUGGUUUUUGAGUGCAAAAAGAGAUACAAAUAAGUUUAGGUCAUUCGACUGGUGGUGAAAUUUAAGUUCGUCGACUUCAAUUUUCUACUAUUGUCUUGCUGAUCCACUACUGAACCUCACUAGGAUUUUUGGAAUCCGAAGGUGUAUUCGCUGCUUCUUCUAUAAUUGUUAUAAAAGAAGUUUGAAAGUUCAGGUUCAAUCUCUUUUUCUUUUGCAUUUCUAUUUUAUUUAAGUGUUCUUGAAUUGUAGAUUCCGUCCAAAAUGGUUUGUUUUGUUAUGUGAUCGAACUUCAUGAAGGAGUAGAGUUUGGGUUCAUCAUUUAAUCAUGAUUCCUAGUCAAAAUGAUUUUUGGUGCAUUAUUCUCGCUGAUGAGUCUCUUCUUGAUGGUGUGAUGUAUUUGAGUAUGUUCACUUAGUUGAAGUUGUUAUUGAGUGGUCGUUUUCUAUACUUAUAUUGUUUAACUGUUAUCAUGAUGUCGAGUUUUCGUUUGAGUCCAGAUCUCGUCGAUUUCAAAUAGUUGUUACAGUUUGUUUAGUCUGUCAGUGUGAAACUGCUCUUUUCUGUUAAAACUUGGAAGAUGAAUCAUAGGAUUGCUUGAUUUUGAACAUGAUAGUGUGAGUGUGAAACAUUGCAUUUGAGCUGGUAUUAGUUUCUGUCUAAAUAGGCUCUCACGAGGAAAAUGCUAGAGUCCUCUGUUUAUUAGUGAAGGUAUGCCGAAGUUUAUCUUCUUUGUUUAAUGGGUAUAAUGGGUUCAUCCUUCUUCUGUUUACUCCGUACCACUGCAUGAGGUAUGUCCGAGUGGGUAGUUCUGUCAUUUGUGCCAUUUUUGAGUUAUUUUGUAGAAAAACUGGCGUGGUUGUGUUAUUUUGGUUUAAAGGGAUGAUCAAUUUUUCUUUUGUGGAAUGUUGUUCAUUGUCUAUUUCCGAGCUGAUAGAUAGGAACUAAAAUUACGUGCUUGUUUAUGAGUUUCUUCUGUUGUAGGAAUCUGAAAAAACCACCUUCAUCACAUGUUAGGAGUGAGUUAAUGGUUGGCGCAUGCUGUGCCAACUGAUUUUCAGAAACUCAAAUGUGGAUUUCAAAAUAAGUAUCAUUACUGUUAGGAUCUCUUUCUUUAUUAAAAUGACUUGAAGCAUGUUUAGUAUGCAUUUGUGUUGAAUCAUUUCAUUUUUUAAAACUAUAAGGAUGGGAAUGGUCUUUGUUCUAACUGAUGGGCUGUGGUGCAUUUUGGAUCAGCCUGCCGUCUGAAGUUGUUGUCAGUGUUUUGAAAAGCGGUCGCUUCGUCGCUUAAAGCGCGAAGCUACGCGAAGCGACCCUCUAUCGCUUUUUGCAGGCUGAAGCGAGGCGACCUAGAGAAGCGAUCGCUUCCAUGGCAGAAGCGCAAACGCGCAGAAGCGAUCGAAGCGCAAAAGCGAUCGCUUAAUUGAAGAAAGCGCAUGCAGAGGUCUUUUUUAAAAAAAAAAACUUUGGGGUCUCAAAAAUACCUAUAUUAGUCCCAAACAGAGGUGGACCAGCCUCUCUUCUUCUUCUCCAGUUGCAGAAAAUUAGGGUUUCAUCCCAACCCAGGUAUUUUUUUCUUCUCCUUUCUUCUUGUUUUUUUCUUUUUUCUUCUUCUUCCAUCUUCUUCUUCAGUCGACGAGACCCAGUCGAUCUUCUUCUUCUUCUUAAUUUUUUUCUUCUUCUGUUCUUGAGUUCACGUUUUUUUUUUCUUCGUUCUGUUUCUUCUCUCCUUCUCUCUCUGUUUCUCGUUCAUAUCUGUUACGAACGAGGUGGAAGAUUGAUGUUUUGUUUUCCCUUUUGUUUUCUGUUAAGUAUAUAUAUAUAUCUAUUUAGUUUUAGUUAUUUUAACUUUAUAUAAUUACAUUAUAUUAUAACUUUAUAUAAUUAUGUUAUUACUUUAUAUAAUUUCAGUUAAUUAUUAUAACUUUAUAAUUUAUAUAAUUUCAGUUUAUUUUCAUAAUUUAUGUAAUUUCAGAUUAUUUUCAGUUAAUUAUUAUAAUUUAUAUAAUUUCAGUUAAUUAUUAUAAUUU
This 2562-nucleotide long non-coding RNA is filed under the name Nicotiana benthamiana. RNAcentral's name for it is "long non-coding RNA (NBEN_LNC038359)". The record is from RNAcentral. Lineage: Eukaryota; Viridiplantae; Streptophyta; Magnoliopsida; Solanales; Solanaceae.